Molecule: small nuclear RNA, 131 nt
Organism: Colias croceus (clouded yellow)
Lineage: Eukaryota; Metazoa; Arthropoda; Insecta; Lepidoptera; Pieridae
Product: U11 spliceosomal RNA
Exons: 1
Source: RefSeq, a predicted model, not a curated record
AAAAAGGGUGUUUACCGCUUUGAUGGUACGCAUGCCGGCAACGGUGUGCGGGGUAUGGCUAUCAAGACAUACUCAACACGUAAUUUUUGUUUUCGCGAGGCUGUUGACUACCCCUAUGUAUCGGCGCCUCC